GCCAGCAUGGUGUAGUGGUUUGAGCACUGGACUAUGACUCUGGAGACUAGGGUUUGAAUCCCCCGCUUGGCC
RNAcentral lists this transfer RNA (72 nucleotides) under Phrynosoma platyrhinos (Desert horned lizard). RNAcentral describes it as "tRNA-OTHER". Lineage: Eukaryota; Metazoa; Chordata; Lepidosauria; Squamata; Phrynosomatidae. The record is from RNAcentral.